This 359-nucleotide ribosomal RNA is filed under the name Ceratobasidiaceae sp. CBS 573.83. RNAcentral describes it as "eukaryotic LSU rRNA". It matches the Rfam family "Eukaryotic large subunit ribosomal RNA", at positions 67 to 420 of the family's 3401-position model. The record is from RNAcentral. Lineage: Eukaryota; Fungi; Basidiomycota; Agaricomycetes; Cantharellales; Ceratobasidiaceae. RNAcentral also lists the same sequence under 1 other name.
AACAAGGAUUCCCCUAGUAACGGCGAGUGAAGCGGGAAGAGCUCAAAUUUAAAAUCUGACGGUGUAUUCCGUCCGAGUUGUAGCCUAGAGAAGCAUCAUCCGCGCUGGACCAUGUACAAGUCUCUUGGAACAGAGCGUCAUAGAGGGUGAGAAUCCCGUCCUUGACAUGGACUCCCAGUGCUUUGUGUUGUGCUCUCGACGAGUCGAGUUGUUUGGGAAUGCAGCUCAAAAUGGGUGGUAAAUUCCAUCUAAAGCUAAAUAUUGGCGAGAGACCGAUAGCGAACAAGUACCGUGAGGGAAAGAUGAAAAGCACUUUGGAGAGAGAGUUAAACAGUACGUGAAAUUGUUAAAAGGGAAAC